CUCAAGAUUUCUUGUGGUGAAACCGUUGUCUCCUCUGCCGUCAAAUCAGACCCUCAUCUGCUGCCUACAGAGAAUGCUGGAAACCAUAUGAAAUAGAAAUGAGCUUUAAGUGAUAUUCACACCUCCUAAUCUGAGCCAUUUGCAAUUAUUUUAUAAUCUUACAAGAGAAGCAUUAAGAGCUGAUUGAGACAAGAAAUGCUGCAGUAAUCAUCCCUUCUGCACCAUGUAUGAGCUGUCAUCUCAGCAAGCAGCCCUAUACAAGGGCUUUGUCUGCCACAGCUGUUCACCACCACAGUGACCUCACUGGGAGAAUAUACUGGAACAAGAUAAUGCGCAUCAGAAGAAGGUUUAAAGAAUAAAUGAAGCUCUGGGCAAGAAGUGAACAUGUUGCCACGUGAGGUAACAUCUCAGUGCUUGCUAUGGGAGCAGUCGUCUUCUGACUGGGCCUGAGGGCUGCAAACUAGUGCUGAUGCUGGUCUCCAGCUCAGCAACAUGCAUGGAACAUUAUCUGUCUGUACAGACUGCAGUUGAUGUCAAAGUUGCAGUGAGCCAUGAUGGUUUUUUGCUACUGCAAUUCCCUAGCUUCAGGAAGAUCAAGAAAAGAAUUUAAUUCCAAGAAGCUUUCAUUAUAUUUUGUACUAUGCCCUUUUCUUGGGACAUCAAAAGUUCGUUUCACUUCUCUGACAUUAAAAUAAAUGGUGUUAAUGUAAAAUUUAUUGAAAUUAUAGCUAUAGUAGGUUUUAAGUUUUUUUUUUUUUUUUUAUCUUGGUUUACAAUCCAUACAGGAAGCUUAGCAUGGUCAUAAUGUAUUUAAUUGCAGAAUAAUCGUCAGAAAAACAAACCAAAAAAUCCCAUAAAUUUUGUAAAAGGGAACUACAUUGAAAUGAAGAAACUUAAAGAAGAAACUGAAAAGGAGUGUCAAAAGGUGACAAUAGGAAUUGAGGAAAAAUUUGCAGAAAGCAUGAAUAAAAAAUCUUUUUUUUUUU
Molecule: long non-coding RNA, 986 nt
Filed under: Gallus gallus (chicken)
Lineage: Eukaryota; Metazoa; Chordata; Aves; Galliformes; Phasianidae
Description: lncRNA (ENSGALG00010002214.1)
Source: RNAcentral